Molecule: long non-coding RNA, 506 nt
Organism: Esox lucius (northern pike)
Lineage: Eukaryota; Metazoa; Chordata; Actinopteri; Esociformes; Esocidae
Exons: 2
Source: RefSeq, a predicted model, not a curated record
AUCAACGUGUUGACCGCGCCCCCUAGUUACAAACCCCACCCACUGUUUGAGGGACACGCACAUUUCGUAACUCAUCGUAACCCAUUUGCGCGCUUUGAAAAACGGAGGAAAAGGGAUCUAUAUACUUGAACUCCCGCAACUAUUUAUUAUUUUGAUUCAUGCCCUAUAUUUAUCAAAAUAUGUGUAUAACUAUUUGCCUAGUCUUCCUGCUGCGGAGAUAUGUAGCCAUUUCAAAUGAAUGCCAUGAAAGUGCAUUCAUAUUGUAACAACCUUUCUCUUCAGUGGAAUGUACAUAUGGGUUCAGGAAUACAGGAGUGUCUACGAUCAAAAUACUGGCAAAACAGAGAAUGGAACCUCCGGCAAGGAAAAAACUAGGAAGCAAUAAUUCUUUUCAAGGGCAUUUUCAGAUACAAGAAAUGGCCUGUCCAGUCUCUUUACCUCCAGCUUCAACAGUGGGUCUGAUUAAUCUGUAUUCAAAAUGUUUGCAAUAAAAAUCAUUGCAGUAA